UACGAAGGAUCCAAGCGUUAUCCGGAUUCAUUGGGCUUAAAGGGCGUGUAGGCGGUUUUGUAAGUCAGUGGUGAAAUCCGAUGGCUCAACGAUCGAACUGCCAUUGAUACUGCAGAACUAGAGUACAGAUGACGUUGGCGGAAUGUGUCAUGUAGCGGUGAAAUGCAUAGAUAUGACGCAGAACACCGAUUGCGAAGGCAGCUGACGAAACUGCAACUGACGCUGAUGCGCGAAAGUGCGGGGAUCAAACAGG
This 253-nucleotide ribosomal RNA is filed under the name uncultured bacterium. Its description in RNAcentral is "partial 16S ribosomal RNA". It matches the Rfam family "Bacterial small subunit ribosomal RNA", at positions 524 to 776 of the family's 1533-position model. The record is from RNAcentral.